RNAcentral lists this ribosomal RNA (402 nucleotides) under Triticum aestivum (bread wheat). RNAcentral describes it as "partial small subunit ribosomal RNA". Lineage: Eukaryota; Viridiplantae; Streptophyta; Magnoliopsida; Poales; Poaceae. The record is from RNAcentral.
AUGCAGAGGUGCCUACUCAAGCUCUGGGGAAUGUUGCAAGCAAAGGAUGAAGAGAUAAGCAGGCUUAAAAUGGAUAUUGGAAAAGUGAACCUUAAGCUCGAGAAUCUUGUUGCAGCUGUGGAAAGAAGUAAUGUAAAUACUAUGAAGAUUGACAGGCAGAAAAAGCAGAUGGGUAUCUAUGAUACAUACGUCAAGCGCAUUCAUAGGUCUCUCACAAGUGCCAUUCAUAAUCUUAAGGACGACAAGGGUGAUAUUAAGCUGGACAGUGAUUUUCUGAAGGAGGAGGUGCAUAAACUGAAGGAGAAUACAAGCAAGAUGCAAAGCGUAAUCUGUGAUCUUUUGGGGCAAGGGUGUGCGAACACUGAUGACCUCCUGAUGAUCAAGUCAAUCCUAGAAGAAUGA